Molecule: ribosomal RNA, 104 nt
Filed under: Caerostris darwini
Lineage: Eukaryota; Metazoa; Arthropoda; Arachnida; Araneae; Araneidae
Source: RNAcentral
UGGUAUGCUGAAUAUACCGGUUCUCGUUAGAUCACCGAAGUCAAGCAUCAUUGGGCGCGCUCAGUGCUUGGGUGGGUGACCACCUGGGAACACCGCGUGCCGUU